GGCUAGAGAAGAUCAAACCAAUGAAUUUAAAACGCCUUAGCAAGCAUCGUUCUCAGAAUAUCGAUUAAAUGUGAAGUUUUAGUAAACGGUAAUCAAAGGGCAGAACAGAAGUUCGCAAAUCAGGUUCCGUCGCAUCUGCAUA
RNAcentral lists this non-coding RNA (142 nucleotides) under Protocruzia adhaerens. Lineage: Eukaryota; Ciliophora; Spirotrichea. The record is from RNAcentral.